RNAcentral lists this ribosomal RNA (442 nucleotides) under uncultured bacterium. RNAcentral's name for it is "bacterial SSU rRNA". It matches the Rfam family "Bacterial small subunit ribosomal RNA", at positions 29 to 470 of the family's 1533-position model. The record is from RNAcentral.
AUUGAACGCUGGCGGCAUGCCUUACACAUGCAAGUCGAACGGUAACGCGGGGGCAACCCUGGCGACGAGUGGCGAACGGGUGAGUAAUACAUCGGAACGUACCCAGUAGUGGGGGAGUAGCUCGGCGAAAGCCGGAUUAAUACCGCAUACGACCUAUGGGUGAAAGCGGGGGAGUCGCAAGACCUCGCGCUAUUGGAGCGGCCGAUGUCGGAUUAGCUAGUUGGUGAGGUAAAAGCNCACCAAGGCUACGAUCCGUAGCUGGUCUGAGAGGACGACCAGCCACACUGGGACUGAGACACGGCCCAGACUCCUACGGGAGGCAGCAGUGGGGAAUUUUGGACAAUGGGCGAAAGCCUGAUCCAGCCAUGCCGCGUGUGUGAAGAAGGCCCUCGGGUUGUAAAGCACUUUUGUCCGGAACGAAACGGCGAAGGCGAAUAACUUU